RNAcentral lists this ribosomal RNA (424 nucleotides) under uncultured cyanobacterium. Its description in RNAcentral is "bacterial SSU rRNA". It matches the Rfam family "Bacterial small subunit ribosomal RNA", at positions 356 to 795 of the family's 1533-position model. Lineage: Bacteria; Bacillati; Cyanobacteriota. The record is from RNAcentral.
GGGGAAUCUUCCGCAAUGGGCGCAAGCCUGACGGAGCAACGCCGCGUGAGGGAGGAAUGUCUGUGGAUUGUAAGCCUCUUUUCUCUGGGAAGAAGUACUGACGGUACCAGAGGAAUCAGCAUCGGCUAACUCCGUGCCAGCAGCCGCGGUAAGACGGAGGAUGCAAGCGUUAUCCGGAAUUAUUGGGCGUAAAGCGUCCGCAGGUGGCGCCUCAAGUCUGCUGUCAAAGGUCGGGGCUUAACUCCGGAAAGGCAGUGGAAACUGAAGCGCUAGAGUGCGGUAGGGGUAGAGGGAAUUCCCGGUGUAGCGGUGAAAUGCGUAGAGAUCGGGAAGAACAUCGGUGGCGAAAGCGCUCUACUGGGCCGCAACUGACACUCAGGGACGAAAGCUAGGGGAGCGAAAGGGAUUAGAUACCCCAGUAGUC